RNAcentral lists this ribosomal RNA (381 nucleotides) under uncultured Gemmiger sp. RNAcentral's name for it is "bacterial SSU rRNA". It matches the Rfam family "Bacterial small subunit ribosomal RNA", at positions 355 to 751 of the family's 1533-position model. The record is from RNAcentral. Lineage: Bacteria; Bacillati; Bacillota; Clostridia; Eubacteriales; Oscillospiraceae.
UGGGGAAUAUUGCACAAUGGGCGAAAGCCUGAUGCAGCGACGCCGCGUGAACGAAGAAGUAUUUCGGUAUGUAAAGUUCUAUCAGCAGGGAAGAAGAAAUGACGGUACCUGACUAAGAAGCUCCGGCUAAAUACGUGCCAGCAGCCGCGGUAAAACGUAGGGUGCAAGCGUUGUCCGGAAUUACUGGGUGUAAAGGGAGCGCAGGCGGACCGGCAAGUUGGAAGUGAAAACCAUGGGCUCAACCCAUGAAUUGCUUUCAAAACUGCUGGCCUUGAGUAGUGCAGAGGUAGGCGGAAUUCCCGGUGUAGCGGUGGAAUGCGUAGAUAUCGGGAGGAACACCAGUGGCGAAGGCGGCCUACUGGGCACCAACUGACGCUGAGG